GAUGAACGCUGGCGGCGUGCCUAAUACAUGCAAGUCGAACGAAACUUCUUUAUCACCGAGUGCUUGCACUCACCGAUAAAGAGUUGAGUGGCGAACGGGUGAGUAACACGUGGGCAACCUGCCCAAAAGAGGGGGAUAACACUUGGAAACAGGUGCUAAUACCGCAUAACCAUAGUUACCGCAUGGUAACUAUGUAAAAGGUGGCUAUACUACCGCUUUUGGAUGGGCCCGCGGCGCAUUAGCUAGUUGGUAGGGUAAAGGCUUACCAAGGCAAUGAUGCGUAGCCGAAUUGAGAGGUUGAUCGGCCACAUUGGGACUGAGACACGGCCCAAACUCCUACGGGAGGCAGCAGUAGGGAAUCUUCCACAAUGGGCGAAAGCCUGAUGGAGCAACGCCGCGUGGGUGAAGAAGGUCUGCGGAUCGUAAAACCCUGUUGUUAGAGAAGAAAGUGCGUGAGAGUAACUGUUCACGUUUCGACGGUAUCUAACCAGAAAGCCACGGCUAACUACGU
This 511-nucleotide ribosomal RNA is filed under the name uncultured bacterium. Its description in RNAcentral is "partial 16S ribosomal RNA". It matches the Rfam family "Bacterial small subunit ribosomal RNA", at positions 28 to 506 of the family's 1533-position model. The record is from RNAcentral.